Molecule: long non-coding RNA, 889 nt
Organism: Xenia sp. Carnegie-2017
Lineage: Eukaryota; Metazoa; Cnidaria; Anthozoa; Malacalcyonacea; Xeniidae
Exons: 2
Source: RefSeq, a predicted model, not a curated record
AGUCAUUUUCGGAGUUAAAUGAGGAGUAAACGUGAGGUUAAACGUAUUUGUUAUCUGGUUGUUACGUCAUUGCAUUGAGUGUACAGGAAAUGUGUGGGCGUCAAUUGUGUAUUGUCAUUGUGAAUUAGUGUGAAGUGUAAUGCUUUUACUUGACCGUUUGUUUGUAUUGUGAAUAAGUCGUUUGUUAUGUGCCGGUUAUUGCUGUAAUCUUUUCAGGGGGGUUUGUUCCAAGUUGGUGUACCAGCUUUUUAUCUUUAGGUAUGGAUUUAAUAGCAUCAGUAGCGUCGGAAGAGUCUUGUAAUGAAAAUUUAUUUAGGGUAAUGACCCAACUUUUAUUCUUCUUGGUGUCGUUUGCAACAGCAAUUACGGUGAUCAGGAAUGAUAGAGAAAAAUUAAAUCUUUGGGCACGCUAUUUUAACUGCCAUUGUCAUGAUGAUGGGUGACUUUGAUUUUGAAGAAAGUUUUGUGGAAAAUGAUAUCUCUGAGUUCAAUACAAUCAAAAUGCUGCGAAUAGUUCUAUUUUGUUUUGUUUCUUCUGAUUGUGUCAAUCAUCAUUAUGAAUCUAUUGGUUACUCUUACAGCUCAAGACCUAAGUGACGAGUUCAAGAAAAAAAAAUAAGCAAGUCAAACUCUUUUAUACUGUGAGUAAUUGGAAUUUGUCAUGAAAGCAAAAAAUUGUUAUAAAUGAUAAGCCUAUAUAGGAGAAACUUCCUUAACUUUAAUUUCAGAAAUAUCAUUUUGAUUGAAAAUAUACAACAGUCUAUAUGCACACUGCCUUAUAAUGAUUGAAGAAAGGAGAACAAGAGCAGUCUUCCCACUAAUUAAAACUGAAGCUAAGAUCAAAGAGUGUAAAUAUACGUAGAGGUGAAUAAAAAACAGGGAAGAAAAA